Molecule: ribosomal RNA, 252 nt
Filed under: uncultured bacterium
Lineage: Bacteria
Description: partial 16S ribosomal RNA
Rfam family: Bacterial small subunit ribosomal RNA
Source: RNAcentral
UACGAAGGGAGCUAGCGUUGUUCGGAAUUACUGGGCGUAAAGGGCGCGUAGGCGGACAUCUAAGUCAGGGGUGAAAUCCCAGGGCUCAACCCUGGAAUUGCCUUUGAUACUGGACGUCUCGAGUUCGGGAGAGGUGAGUGGAAUUCCGAGUGUAGAGGUGAAAUUCGUAGAUAUUCGGAGGAACACCAGAAGCGAAGGCGGCUCACUGGCCCGAUACUGACGCUGAGGCGCGAAAGCGUGGGAGCAAACAGG